AACGUAGGAGGCGAGCGUUAUCCGGAUUUACUGGGUGUAAAGCGCGUGCAGGCGGUGAGAUAAGUUGGGUGUGAAAGCUCCCGGCUCAACUGGGAGAGGUCGCUCAAGACUGUCUGACUGGAGCGUGGUAGGGGAAGGCGGAAUUCCAGGUGUAGUGGUGAAAUGCGUAGAUAUCUGGAGGAACACCAGUGGCGAAAGCGGCCUUCUGGACCAUGACUGACGCUCAGACGCGAAAGCUAGGGGAGCAAACGGG
Molecule: ribosomal RNA, 253 nt
Filed under: uncultured bacterium
Lineage: Bacteria
Description: partial 16S ribosomal RNA
Rfam family: Bacterial small subunit ribosomal RNA
Source: RNAcentral